GGAUGCUGGAGUGGUCGGGGAGGCGGGUUAUACAGAGGAGUUGGCAGCAGCAGAAGGUGUGCAAAUUUGUGGGCUUGCGAAGGACAGCGGGGUGGUGAAUGACAGGCGGCGGGAUUCGCUGCGGGCAGCAUGGAGGUGCUUAUUGGGCCGGCCGGGCCCCGGUGCUGUGCGCCCUGGGAGACGCUGUGAGGAUGGAGGUGGCCCAGCGGCCGGUCCACGCACCCCCUGACUGGUCCUGCCCUGGUUGGCGACAUUGGGACUUUUGCUCCCGUCUUGUGUAUGGGAUGUUUCGGCUGGUUGCAUGUGU
This 307-nucleotide long non-coding RNA is filed under the name Androctonus crassicauda. The record is from RNAcentral. Lineage: Eukaryota; Metazoa; Arthropoda; Arachnida; Scorpiones; Buthidae.